AUCAUUUCUUGGCCUUUUGACUAAGAUUCAGUGUACAGUAUCUGUUCUUAUCAGUGUAAUAAAAAUCACCCACCAUCUAACUGUUAGAAUGCAACCUAUGUUUGGCAUAUGGAAAUUUUUUUCUAGGUUUU
This 131-nucleotide small nuclear RNA is filed under the name Rhinolophus ferrumequinum (greater horseshoe bat). RNAcentral's name for it is "U2 spliceosomal RNA (ENSRFEG00010013688.1)". It matches the Rfam family "U2 spliceosomal RNA", at positions 1 to 112 of the family's 192-position model. From Rfam's summary of the family: U2 is a small nuclear RNA (snRNA) component of the spliceosome (involved in pre-mRNA splicing). The record is from Rfam by way of RNAcentral. Lineage: Eukaryota; Metazoa; Chordata; Mammalia; Chiroptera; Rhinolophidae.